CCUACGGGAGACAGCAGUAGGGAAUUUUCGGCAAUGGGGGGAACCCUGACCGAGCAACGCCGCGUGAACGAAGAAGUUAUUCGUAAUGUAAAGUUCUUUUAACAGGGAAGAAAGAGAAAUUUGACGGUACCUGAAGAAUAAGCUCCGGCAAACUACGUGCCAGCAGCCGCGGUAAUACGUAGGGACCGAGCGUUAUCCGGAAUUAUUGGGCGAAAAGGGUGCGUAGAUGGCAUAGUAAGUCUUUUGUAAAAAUGCUGGGCUAAACCCAGUAGGGGAAAAGAGACUGCAAGGCUAGAGGAUGGGAGAGGCAGGCGGAAGUGCAGGUGGAGGGGGAAAAGGCGGAGAGA
Molecule: ribosomal RNA, 347 nt
Filed under: uncultured bacterium
Lineage: Bacteria
Description: partial 16S ribosomal RNA
Rfam family: Bacterial small subunit ribosomal RNA
Source: RNAcentral